AUUGAACGCUGGCGGCACGCUUAACACAUGCAAGUCGAACGGCAGCGGGAUCUAGCUUGCUAGAUUGCCGGCGAGUGGCGGACGGGUGAGUAACGCGUAGGAAUAUACCUUAGAGACUGGGACAACCUGGGGAAACUCAGGCUAAUACCGGAUGAAGUUUACGAACGAAAGCUGGGGACCGAAAGGCCUGGCGCUUUAAGAAUAGCCUGCGUCCGAUUAGCUAGUUGGUGGGGUAAAGGCCUACCAAGGCGACGAUCGGUAGCUGGUCUGAGAGGAUGACCAGCCACAUUGGAACGAGGAAACGGGCCAGACUCCUACGGGAGGAAGCAGUGGGGAAUAUUGGACAAGGGGGAAACCCUGAUCCAGCAAUGCCGCGUGUGUGAAGAAGGCCUGAGGGUUGUAAAGCACUUUUGUUGGGGAAGAGGGUAUUUUGGUUAAGAGCUGGAAUACUGGACAUUACCCAAAGAAAAAGCACCGGCUAACUCCGUGCCAGCCGCCGCGGUAA
RNAcentral lists this ribosomal RNA (505 nucleotides) under uncultured bacterium. Its description in RNAcentral is "partial 16S ribosomal RNA". It matches the Rfam family "Bacterial small subunit ribosomal RNA", at positions 29 to 523 of the family's 1533-position model. The record is from RNAcentral.